This 200-nucleotide unclassified non-coding RNA is filed under the name Russulales sp. Its description in RNAcentral is "partial internal transcribed spacer 2". Lineage: Eukaryota; Fungi; Basidiomycota; Agaricomycetes; Russulales. The record is from RNAcentral.
UUAAGUUCAGCGGGUAGUCCCGCCUGAUUUGAGGUCAAGAUCGUGUGUGUUGUCCGAGGACGGUUGGAAGCGAAGCCCAUGUCGAUCGACCCACGGCGUAGAUAAUUAUCACGUCGAGGACCUUUCGGAACUUCGCUAAUGCAUUCAAGGGGAGCGGAUCUUUGCAGACCCGCAGAGCCCCCAAUUCCCAGCCCAGCCGC